UGUAAUAUUUAUGUUGAUAUCAACACAUAAAAUUGUAAAUAUAGCAACAAAUAAUAACCUGUCAAAUACAUAAUAAAUGUCUAGCCUUGUAGACUGUUUAAUGUAUAUACAUGAUAGAUAGAUAUUUAUUUUCUCCUUCAUUGCCACUAUUACAUGGAUUAGGUGAGACAGAAAUACAUAAAAUGAAAUGUAAAAUGUAUAAGGUAUAUAUACUAAACACAUCUUCCAUAGACAUGGAUUGUGAAAGUCAACAAGGAUAUAAACCAAGGAAAAUUGCUCUGGACUUGGACAACCUGAAUGGCAGAUCAAUAUAUGGAGAAUUAAAUUGAAAGACGAAAAAGAAAGUUACAGGUCAAGCUGCACGACAGAAAUUCUCAGUAAAUGUAAUGCUGAUAUAUUUCCCGAUUUCCCAACGAACUCAUUGCAAAAUUCAAAACAUUCUCAUACUUAUAUAGGCAGAAAGAGAAACAGAAGAAUAAAAUACAGAUUUGAAAGGGUUAUAUUUUUAGGAGUGAAUAAUUUUUGGUAAAUGAAAGUUCUUGGCUUUCUUCCAUCCUUUGGAAGAUUCCCACUUUUUUUGUAUCGAAAUGGAGUAGUAGGAAGACAAAAACUUUCUUUACCAAAUAACAGACAUUAUUAAAAUGUAUCCUAAUAGAACUCAGAUGAAUUAUAAUGAGCCUUAUCACUCAAUAUAUCAAUCAGAUAUUCCAUUUUGAUACCUAAUCUGGUCUAUUAUUAUGGAAACAUUCUUCAGCAUAAAAAUUGAGGCAAAAAGUAUGUCUGAUGUUUGAAUAAAGCAGUUUUACCUGA
Molecule: long non-coding RNA, 810 nt
Organism: Leptinotarsa decemlineata (Colorado potato beetle)
Lineage: Eukaryota; Metazoa; Arthropoda; Insecta; Coleoptera; Chrysomelidae
Source: RefSeq, a predicted model, not a curated record